UUAGCAACACGAAGCGUUGGGAUGACCUCGGAGAGGGUGCAAGCUCAACAAAGAGUACCGGGGAGAAUAUUAUUUUUGACCCAAAAUAGCAUUCGAUUUGAAGCUUUAACGACAUAACCCCUUUUACACGCCCCCACACGGGCCAGCAUGGUGCAUUAGGGGAAAGGGAAGAUAAUGCAAAAGAAAGAAGAUCGGGCUCUCAAAGCACCACCACCA
RNAcentral lists this long non-coding RNA (216 nucleotides) under Hordeum vulgare. Its description in RNAcentral is "long non-coding RNA (HVUL_LNC019711)". The record is from RNAcentral. Lineage: Eukaryota; Viridiplantae; Streptophyta; Magnoliopsida; Poales; Poaceae.